This 331-nucleotide unclassified non-coding RNA is filed under the name soil metagenome. RNAcentral describes it as "partial contains 5.8S ribosomal RNA, internal transcribed spacer 2, and large subunit ribosomal RNA". The stretch from base 1 to 120 matches the Rfam family "5.8S ribosomal RNA", at positions 35 to 154 of the family's 154-position model. The record is from RNAcentral.
GAUGAAGAACGUAGCGAAAUGCGAUACGUAAUGUGAAUUGCAGAUUUCAGUGAAUCAUCUAAUCUUUGAACGCACAUUGCGCCCGCCAGUAUUCUGGCGGGCAUGCCUGUUCGAGCGUCAUUUCAACCAUCAAGCGCCUCGCUUGUGUUGGGGCCCUGCGGCUGCCGCAGGCCCCUAAAUCCAGUGGCGGGCUCGUCGUCGUACCGAGUGCAGUAAACAUCCUCGCUCAGGGAACCCGACGGGUGCCGGCCGUGAAACCCCCCCUCCUCAAGGUUGACCUCGGAUCAGGUAGGAAUACCCGCUGAACUUAAGCAUAUCAAUAAGCGGAGGA